GACGAACGCUGGCGGCGUGCCUAAUACAUGCAAGUCGAACGCUUUUUCUUUCACCGGAGCUUGCUCCACCGAAAGAAAAAGAGUGGCGAACGGGUGAGUAACACGUGGGUAACCUGCCCAUCAGAAGGGGAUAACACUUGGAAACAGGUGCUAAUACCGUAUAACACUAUUUUCCGCAUGGAAGAAAGUUGAAAGGCGCUUUUGCGUCACUGAUGGAUGGACCCGCGGUGCAUUAGCUAGUUGGUGAGGUAACGGCUCACCAAGGCAACGAUGCAUAGCCGACCUGAGAGGGUGAUAGGCCACACUGGGACUGAGACACGGCCCAGACUCCUACGGGAGGCAGCAGUAGGGAAUCUUCGGCAACGGACGAAAGUCUGACCGAGCAACGCCGCGUGAGUGAAGAAGGUUUUCGGAUCGUAAAACUCUGUUGUUAGAGAAGAACAAGGAUGAGAGUAGAACGUUCAUCCCUUGACGGUAUCUAACCAGAAAGCCACGGCUAACUACGUGCCAGCCGCCGCUGUAA
RNAcentral lists this ribosomal RNA (523 nucleotides) under uncultured bacterium. Its description in RNAcentral is "partial 16S ribosomal RNA". It matches the Rfam family "Bacterial small subunit ribosomal RNA", at positions 28 to 523 of the family's 1533-position model. The record is from RNAcentral.